GAAAUGCGAUAAGUAGUGUGAAUUGCAGAAUUCAGUGAAUCAUCGAAUCUUUGAACGCACAUUGCGCCCCUUGGUAUUCCAUGGGGCAUGCCUGUUCGAGCGUCAUUUGUACCCUCAAGCUCUGCUUGGUGUUGGGUGUUUGUCCCCGUCUCCGCGCGUGGACUCGCCCCAAAGUGAUUGGCAGCCGGCGUACUGGUCCCGGAGCGCAGCACAUGUCGCGCAAACGAGUGCCUUGGUACGGCGGCGUCCAGCAAGCUAUAUUUUCAGGCUUGACCUCGGAUCAGGUAGGGAUACCCGCUGAACUUAAGC
This 309-nucleotide unclassified non-coding RNA is filed under the name plant metagenome. RNAcentral's name for it is "partial contains 5.8S ribosomal RNA, internal transcribed spacer 2, and large subunit ribosomal RNA". The stretch from base 1 to 105 matches the Rfam family "5.8S ribosomal RNA", at positions 50 to 154 of the family's 154-position model. The record is from RNAcentral.